GUGCAGAAAUAAUAUUUCUAACGAUAUUAGAAAUAUAAUAAUAGAUCUUCAAUUUCAAAACUUUAUCUGAAACCAACUUUAAAAUCCUAAUUCCCAUGAUUACGGCCUGAAUGGACCCUCCACUAGUGUCGAACAGCUCGAAGUCACCUUUAUUCAGACUCUUUAUUUUCUGUAGAUCCUGCAACGAUUUACAAAGGUGUGAGCCA
Molecule: long non-coding RNA, 206 nt
Filed under: Elaeis guineensis (African oil palm)
Lineage: Eukaryota; Viridiplantae; Streptophyta; Magnoliopsida; Arecales; Arecaceae
Description: long non-coding RNA (EGUI_LNC046474)
Source: RNAcentral